GUAACUAAAUUUAACACAGUUGGUCAUUUCAGGAAAAAGAAGAAAAGCCUAAAAUAGAUUUUUUUACUCUGUCACAUCCAUUAUGAGCAAGCUUGAACUAACAGGGAAAAUUGUUGAGUUACAUCCUUAAAGGGACUUUGGUUACAUAACUAAAGCAUAGUGAAUAAACUCUUCUGUGUCCUCUCAUUAAAGGCAAAGAAGAAAAAGAUGAAACUGAAGAGCAGCUCAUAUAGCUACAGGAUAUCAACAAAGUAAACAAGGCUCCAGAUGUGGUGCUGAGGGGGUGAGGUGUUUGUAUGUCAUCUGCUCGGGCGGCUGCGCGUACACCCAUCCGAGGGGGAUGCUGUCAGCCCUGAUGGAGGGGGCCCGGGCCCCAGGCCUGAGGUGGUGAGGCGAGCGGGUCACAGCCUACGCACAUCUGGAAGCACUUCAGGUCAGCAGGGCCCAACUGCCUGAAAGAAGACACAUCAGAGGCUUAAAGACUGACCAAACGCGCUUGUGAAACAUGGUUGAAGACAGAGCGGGAAGCCCAGAUCUCGAAGCCUUGGCUGCAGCACCAUGCAGGCCUGGUGGAGGCACAGUGUCCGGUUACGCAGCGCCUGAGGAAUGAGCUCAAAGUCUCUUUUAUCAAAGCAUUUCUGUAUUGCUCCCUUUCUGGGAUACAUUAAUUGCAGAUGUGUUUGUUCUAUUUCUUUCCUUUCGUUCUCCCCUUCCUUCUCUUGAUCUAUAAACGGGAAUAAUCCCCAUCUUUCUACAAAAACAGUCUCAUUACAGGAGAAUGCAGAGACUGGCUGCGGCCUACAGCAUGUGUGCUGAGAGGCCGAUUGAUCGACUGAGGCUUUUUAAACAAUCGAGCUGAACUCUGACGAUAGGGCCGAUGACAACACAAAGCUCCAGUGUUAACAUCACGUUCAUCUGUAACUGCAAUCCCUGCUGAAACCCCGAAGUAGGCGAGUGGUUUAAUCUUCUUUUUCUGAGCUUUUAUUUAUAUAGGCUCUUUUGUAGAAUUACCCGUACAUUUUUUGUAUAUUUCUUAGAUUUGCAAAAUAUGUGUUCUCGAAUCAACCAGUGAACUGAAAACCUAGUUGACAGUCAUUGAUGAUUGUGAG
Non-coding RNA from Danio rerio (zebrafish), 1109 nucleotides. The record is from RefSeq and is a predicted model, not a curated record. Lineage: Eukaryota; Metazoa; Chordata; Actinopteri; Cypriniformes; Danionidae.